UACGAAGGGAGCUAGCGUUGUUCGGAAUCACUGGGCGUAAAGCGCACGUAGGCGGAUGUGCCAGUCAGGGGUGAAAUCCCGGAGCUCAACUUCGGAACUGCCUUUGAUACAGCACGUCUUGAGUCCGAUAGAGGUGGGUGGAAUUCCUAGUGUAGAGGUGAAAUUCGUAGAUAUUAGGAAGAACACCGGUGGCGAAGGCGGCCCACUGGAUCGGUACUGACGCUGAGGAGCGAAAGCGUGGGGAGCGAACAGG
RNAcentral lists this ribosomal RNA (253 nucleotides) under uncultured bacterium. RNAcentral's name for it is "partial 16S ribosomal RNA". It matches the Rfam family "Bacterial small subunit ribosomal RNA", at positions 524 to 776 of the family's 1533-position model. The record is from RNAcentral.